GACGAACGCUGGCGACGCGCCUAACACAUGCCAGUCGAACGAGCGAGAGAGAGCUUGCUUUCUCAAGCGAGUGGCGAACGGGUGAGUAACGCGUGAGGAACCUGCCUCAAAGAGGGGGACAACAGUUGGAAACGACUGCUAAUACCGCAUAAGCCCACAGGUCGGCAUCGACCAGAGGGAAAAGGAGCAAUCCGCUUUGAGAUGGCCUCGCGUCCGAUUAGCUAGUUGGUGAGGUAACGGCCCACCAAGGCAACGAUCGGUAGCCGGACUGAGAGGUUGAACGGCCACAUUGGGACUGAGACACGGCCCAGACUCCUACGGGAGGCAGCAGUGGGGAAUAUUGCACAAUGGGGGAAACCCUGAUGCAGCGACGCCGCGUGGAGGAAGAAGGUCUUCGGAUUGUAAACUCCUGUUGUUGAGGAAGAUAAUGACGGUACUCAACAAGGAAGUGACGGCUAACUACGUG
This 466-nucleotide ribosomal RNA is filed under the name uncultured bacterium. RNAcentral describes it as "partial 16S ribosomal RNA". It matches the Rfam family "Bacterial small subunit ribosomal RNA", at positions 28 to 507 of the family's 1533-position model. The record is from RNAcentral.